GGAAGAGGGACGGGACGGCCCACGUCGACGUGGAGGUGCAAAAUCUUUCCAAAUAGGACAGAAAUACAGAAAGGCAGUGUCAUCUUCUCAGUUCACCAGCGCUACUGUCGAGGCCAUUGGAACUCUGUUGCUAACCAAAAGAGCAGCGCCUAUGGGAAAACAACGGCAACUGCUGAUGAUGAGUCGUCACGCCUCCCUCCCACUGGAUGACAAAGCAGCUUUAACCUCACGAGGAGCUACGCGGCUCGGCCUCGGUUGCGUCGAGCGGAGGAGGCGCCCUGUCAGGAUGGAGGCGACCUCUCGGUGACCAAACGCUUCAAAGUCCCUUUGAUGUAAAAAGCCAGCGUUAGUGCCCCAACGCUAAUCCUCAUCUCCGGACCCGCCCCAACGUCCAGUCUGGCGGCACACCUGACGCCGACACGUGACUCCCCUCACCUGCUCCUCAUUGGCUGUCGUGUUCAUGCAGGACCUUUAACACAAGGUUGCCCGCCCGCCACGGCUCUUUACAAGGCCUGCCUUUGGCCAGAGAAAAACCUUUUUUAACCUCCUCGGUGCUCGGCAGCAAACAUUUUUGUUUUUGCUUUUUCUGGGGGGACUGAGAGGAGAAGAAGGGAGGAGAGACGACCUCCUAAUGUACAUUCUGUUCUGCUUUGGCUGCGAUUCCCAAGGUUGUUUGUCUGUGCGUGUGUGUGUGUGAGUGUGUUAGGUGGUGCCAGGCACUAGCGUCUCCUCUGGCUCGCUCCGUGUUGACCCGACCCUGGACUCUCUCCUCCCUCCCACGAGUUGGGCGAGGCUUGGCAGAGCUGCACGUAUCCAUCCGCACACACUGAUUGCCGGUAUGUGCACGCAUGUACACGCACACACAAAUAGUCGGUGUGUGCGCGCGUGUGUGUGUACACUUGCACCAUGGACAAAUGGGGAGAGAGAGAGAAUAUUAGAUACUUACAAAGAACCCCGCCAAUUUUUUUUUUUAUAUGAUUAUCUUGAGGUGUGUUCCAUCUAGGUAGCAAAAAGUAUCAAUUAUUCACUUGGCUCAUAAAAAAAAAAAAAAAAAAAUGAGGAUCAGGAUUAUUUUCUACCAAUACAGUUCAUGAUAAAAAAAUAUCCAAUAAGAGACUAAAUUCUGAUUGGGGAAAGCGAAAGCUAGUCACCAUGACUACAGUUCUUCUUUGUCUUCUAAAUAAAAGGCAUUAACCUAACCUCUGAAAAACUAGUCAAGCAAACUGGGAAAUUUGCAGGCGACAAUGUGCAAAAAGAAAACGUUCAUCUCAAUUAAGGGCACCGGCGAGUCCCACUUCCUCGCUUGCUCGCUCGCUUCUCAUCAGCUAACACUCACACACUAAGUGAAACAAAUUUUCCCACGUGCAAUCAACGCGCCAGGCAUGCCAAGGUACAUUCCAGGGAUCGAGUGUGUUACCCUGAUUUAAGGCUGUCUUGUCCAAGGCCCGGCUCCCUGUCUCUCUCUCUCUCGCUCGCUCUGUUUUUGUGUGUGUGAACGAGCCCACGUCAUCCCGCUCGCUCGCAACACCGCCUGAUCCCGAUCCUAUCUUAGCUCGUCUAGUCUCACCCACUCACUUCCAAAUGAAUAUAAAUGGUUGUUUUCAUUGUAUGACUGCAAAGACUGUAAAAGGAAGCGAGAGCGACGGCGUCAUCUCACAAGAUAAACAAAAGGCAAGGACACGUUUUUAGGAAACGACAAUUAAGAGUCAAAUGAGACGCUUAUGAUUACAUGUGAAGAGUCGUCAUCGUCGUAAUGAAACAAGCCCGCAUUCCUGUGCUUAAAAACAUUACAAGGUGACAAAUGAGGAAAGAGGGCAGAGGGCAAAGCCGCGGGAACAAAUCACGCAGAUGUGACGCCGAGUCCAGCGCCAGCGAGCGAGCCAGCACUUUGCCUUGGCCGAGGAAAGGGGAAGAAUCAAAGUCGGCAGAUGAUGCAGAUGGAAAGCAUCUGCCUGCCGGGGGACACCAAAAGUGAUCGUAGAUAGAUUGGUGCACGCUGGAGUUGACACAGUCCCUCAGCAUAAAUGACCCCGGCUGACCCCGCCAGUUAGCCUUUGUUUAGCAGACGCCCGGCCCCCUUUAAUCUUGUCCAGAGAUAAAUCCUUUGAUGGACCUAGUCCCACUCACUUGAAAGUACGGGCCGGGCCAUCUCCAUAGAUCAACGUAAUACUGCACGUUUGAA
Syngnathus typhle (broad-nosed pipefish) is the source of this 2182-nucleotide long non-coding RNA. RefSeq lists it as uncharacterized. The transcript has 5 exons. The record is from RefSeq and is a predicted model, not a curated record. Lineage: Eukaryota; Metazoa; Chordata; Actinopteri; Syngnathiformes; Syngnathidae.